This 1021-nucleotide ribosomal RNA is filed under the name uncultured Penicillium. Its description in RNAcentral is "SSU rRNA". It matches the Rfam family "Eukaryotic small subunit ribosomal RNA", at positions 18 to 1055 of the family's 1831-position model. The record is from RNAcentral. Lineage: Eukaryota; Fungi; Ascomycota; Eurotiomycetes; Eurotiales; Aspergillaceae.
UUGUAGUCAUAUGCUUGUCUCAAAGAUAAGCAUGCAUGUCUAGUAUAAGCACUUAUACGGUGAAACUGCGAUGGCUCAUAAAUCAGUUAUCGUUAUUGAUAGUGCCUUACUACAUGGAUACCUGUGGUAAUUCUAGAGCUAAUACAUGCUGAAAACCCCGACUUCGGGAGGGGUGUAUUUAUUAGAUAAAAAACCAACGCCCUUUCGGGGCUCCUUGGUGAAUCAUAAUAACUUAACGAAUCGCAUGGCCUUGCGCCGGCGAUGGUUCAUUCAAAUUUCUGCCCUAUCAACUUUCGAUGGUAGGAUAGUGGCCUACCAUGGUGGCAACGGGUAACGGGGAAUUAGGGUUCGAUUCCGGAGAGGGAGCCUGAGAAACGGCUACCACAUCCAAGGAAGGCAGCAGGCGCGCAAAUUACCCAAUCCCGACACGGGGAGGUAGUGACAAUAAAUACUGAUACGGGGCUCUUUUGGGUCUCGUAAUUGGAAUGAGAGCAAUUUAAAUCCCUCACCGAGGAACAAUUGGAGGGCAAGUCUGGUGCCAGCAGCCGCGGUAAUUCCAGCUCCAAUAGCGUAUAUUAAAGUUGUUGCAGUUAAAAAGCUCGUAGUUGAACCUUGGGCCUGGCUGGCCGGUCCGCCUCACCGCGAGUACUGGUCCGGCUGGGCCUUUCCUUCUGGGGAACCCCAUGGCCUUCACUGGCUGUGGGGGGAACCAGGACUUUUACUGUGAAAAAAUUAGAGUGUUCAAAGCAGGCCUUUGCUCGAAUACAUUAGCAUGGAAUAAUAGAAUAGGACGUGCGGUUCUAUUUUGUUGGUUUCUAGGACCGCCGUAAUGAUUAAUAGGGAUAGUCGGGGGCGUCAGUAUUCAGCUGUCAGAGGUGAAAUUCUUGGAUUUGCUGAAGACUAACUACUGCGAAAGCAUUCGCCAAGGAUGUUUUCAUUAAUUAGGGAACGAAAGUUAGGGGAUCGAAGACGAUCAGAUACCGUCGUAGUCUUAACCAUAAACUAUGCCGACUAGGGAUCA